GCGGAUGGCCGGAUGACCGCGGCGGGUGUUAAGCCUGUCGAGGAAAGUCCGGACUCCAUGAAGAAAGGGCGCCGGGUAACUCCCGGCCGGGGUAACCCGAGGGAAAGCGCAACAGAGAAGAGACCGCCUGCAAUUUUGCAGGUAAGGGUGAAACGGUGGAGUAAGAGACCACCGCGGUCCUGGUAACAGGAAUGGCAAGGCAAGCCCCGCCCGGAGCAAUGCCGAAUAGGGACCUCGCGCGGGGCAUGAUCGGAUCCGUCCGAUAUCGCCGCAGGGAGCUUCAGCCCGAGAGGUCCGGGUUGGCAGCCAGAUCCCCCCGGUAACGGUGGGACCAGAGGAAUGGUCAUCUAUGGGACGUCAGUCCCGGGACAGAAUCCGGCUUACAGGCCAUCCGCGCAA
This 399-nucleotide RNase P RNA is filed under the name Pseudogemmobacter faecipullorum. Its description in RNAcentral is "RNase P RNA component class A". It matches the Rfam family "Bacterial RNase P class A". From Rfam's summary of the family: Ribonuclease P (RNase P) is a ubiquitous endoribonuclease, found in archaea, bacteria and eukarya as well as chloroplasts and mitochondria. Its best characterised activity is the generation of mature 5'-ends of tRNAs by cleaving the 5'-leader elements of precursor-tRNAs. The record is from RNAcentral. Lineage: Bacteria; Pseudomonadati; Pseudomonadota; Alphaproteobacteria; Rhodobacterales; Paracoccaceae.